AUAAGCCCACGACCCGGCAUCGGGAAGAGGGAAAAGGAGCAAUCCGCUUUGAGAUGGCCUCGCGUCCGAUUAGCUAGUUGGUGAGGUAACGGCCCACCAAGGCGACGAUCGGUAGCCGGACUGAGAGGUUGAACGGCCACAUUGGGACUGAGACACGGCCCAGACUCCUACGGGAGGCAGCAGUGGGGAAUAUUGCACAAUGGGGGAAACCCUGAUGCAGCGACGCCGCUGGAGGAAGAAGGUCUUCGGAUUGUAAACUCCUGUUGUUGAGGAAGAUAAUGACGGUACUCAACAAGGAAGUGACGGCUAACUACGUGCCAGCAGCCGCGGUAAAACGUAGGUCACAAGCGUUGUCCGGAAUUACUGGGUGUAAAGGGAGCGCAGGCGGGAUGACAAGUUGGAAGUGAAAUCCAUGGGCUCAACCCACGAACUGCUUUCAAAACUGUUUUUCUUGAGUAGUGCAGAGGUAGGCGGAAUUCCCGGUGUAGCGGUGGAAUGCGUAGAUAUCGGGAGGAACACCAGUGGCGAAGGCGGCCUACUGGGCACCAACUGACGCUGAGGCUCGAAAGUGUGGGUAGCAAACAGGAUUAGACACCCUGGUAGUCCACACCGUAAACGAUGAUUACUAGGUGUUGGAGGAUUGACCCCUUCAGUGCCGCAGUUAACACAAUAAGUAAUCCACCUGGGGAGUACGACCGCAAGGUUGAAACUCAAAGGAAUUGACGGGGGCCCGCACAAGCAGUGGAGUAUGUGGUUUAAUUCGACGCAACGCGAAGAACCUUACCAAGUCUUGACAUCCCUUGACGGUGCUGGAAACAGUACUUCUCUUCGGAGCAAGGAGACAGGUGGUGCAUGGUUGUCGUCAGCUCGUGUCGUGAGAUGUUGGGUUAAGUCCCGCAACGAGCGCAACCCUUAUGGUCAGUUACUACGCAAGAGGACUCUGGCCAGACUGCCGUUGACAAAACGGAGGAAGGUGGGGAUGACGUCAAAUCAUCAUGCCCUUUAUGACUUGGGCUACACACGUACUACAAUGGCGUUAAACAAAGAGAAGCAAGACCGCGAGGUGGAGCAAAACUCAGAAACAACGUCCCAGUUCGGACUGCAGGCUGCAACUCGCCUGCACGAAGUCGGAAUUGCUAGUAAUCGUGGAUCAGCAUGCCACGGUGAAUACGUUCCCGGGCCUUGUACACACCGCCCGUCACACCAUGAGAGCCGGGGGGACCCGAAGUCGGUAGUCUAACCGCAAGGAGGACGCCGCCGAAGGUAAAACUGGUGAUUGGGGUGAAGUCGUAAGAAGGU
Molecule: ribosomal RNA, 1299 nt
Filed under: metagenome
Description: bacterial SSU rRNA
Rfam family: Bacterial small subunit ribosomal RNA
Source: RNAcentral